RNAcentral lists this ribosomal RNA (497 nucleotides) under uncultured bacterium. RNAcentral describes it as "partial 16S ribosomal RNA". It matches the Rfam family "Bacterial small subunit ribosomal RNA", at positions 28 to 507 of the family's 1533-position model. The record is from RNAcentral.
GAUGAACGCUGGCGGCGUGCCUAAUACAUGCAAGUCGAGCGAACAGAUAAGGAGCUUGCUCCUUUGACGUUAGCGGCGGACGGGUGAGUAACACGUGGAUAACCUACCUAUAAGACUGGGAUAACUUCGGGAAACCGGAGCUAAUACCGGAUAACAUGUUGAACCGCAUGGUUCAACAGUGAAAGACGGUCUUGCUGUCACUUAUAGAUGGAUCCGCGCCGCAUUAGCUAGUUGGUAAGGUAACGGCUUACCAAGGCAACGAUGCGUAGCCGACCUGAGAGGGUGAUCGGCCACACUGGAACUGAGACACGGUCCAGACUCCUACGGGAGGCAGCAGUAGGGAAUCUUCCGCAAUGGGCGAAAGCCUGACGGAGCAACGCCGCGUGAGUGAAGAAGGUCUUCGGAUCGUAAAACUCUGUUAUUAGGGAAGAACAAAUGUGUAAGUAACUAUGCACGUCUUGACGGUACCUAAUCAGAAAGCCACGGCUAACUACGUG